This 435-nucleotide ribosomal RNA is filed under the name uncultured bacterium. RNAcentral's name for it is "partial 16S ribosomal RNA". It matches the Rfam family "Bacterial small subunit ribosomal RNA", at positions 358 to 785 of the family's 1533-position model. The record is from RNAcentral.
GGAAUCUUCGGCAAUGGACGAAAGUCUGACCGAGCAACGCCGCGUGAGUGAAGAAGGUUUUCGGAUCGUAAAACUCUGUUGGUAGAGAAGAACGUUGGUGAGAGUGGAAAGCUCAUCAAGUGACGGUAACUACCCAGAAAGGGACGGCUAACUACGUGCCAGCAGCCGCGGUAAUACGUAGGUCCCGAGCGUUGUCCGGAUUUAUUGGGCGUAAAGCGAGCGCAGGUGGUUUAUUAAGUCUGGUGUAAAAGGCAGUGGCUCAACCAUUGUAUGCAUUGGAAACUGGUAGACUUGAGUGCAGGAGAGGAGAGUGGAAUUCCAUGUGUAGCGGUGAAAUGCGUAGAUAUAUGGAGGAACACCGGUGGCGAAAGCGGCUCUCUGGCCUGUAACUGACACUGAGGCUCGAAAGCGUGGGGAGCAAACAGGAUUAGAUAG